This 489-nucleotide ribosomal RNA is filed under the name uncultured bacterium. RNAcentral describes it as "bacterial SSU rRNA". It matches the Rfam family "Bacterial small subunit ribosomal RNA", at positions 8 to 526 of the family's 1533-position model. The record is from RNAcentral.
AGAGUUUGAUCAUGGCUCAGCCUGAACGCUGGCGGCGUGGCUAAGACAUGCAAGUCGUACGGUGUAGCAAUACACAGUGGCGGACGGGUGAGUAAUGAAUCGCUAACGUACCCCGAAAUCUGGGAUAGCUAGCCGAAAGGUUAGGUAAUACCAGAUGAGACCACAGCAUGGCAUCCUGCAGUGCUCAAAGGGCAACCGUUUUGGGAGCGGGCGAUUUCGUAUCAGCUAGUUGGUGAGGUAACGGCUCACCAAGGCGACGACGCGUAGCCGGGCUGAGAGGUCGGCCGGCCACAUUGGGACUGAGACACUGCCCAGACUCCUACGGGGGGCUGCAGUAACGAAUCUUCCGCAAUGCACGCAAGUGUGACGGAGCGACGCCGCGUGUGGGACGAAGUUCUUCGGAAUGUAAACCACUGUCAGAGGAAAGAAAGUUCUGAUCUACCUCAGAGGAAGGGGCGGCUAACUCUGUGCCAGCAGCCGCGGUAAUAC